This 253-nucleotide ribosomal RNA is filed under the name uncultured bacterium. Its description in RNAcentral is "partial 16S ribosomal RNA". It matches the Rfam family "Bacterial small subunit ribosomal RNA", at positions 524 to 776 of the family's 1533-position model. The record is from RNAcentral.
UACGGAGGGUGCAAGCGUUAUCCGGAUUCACUGGGUUUAAAGGGUGCGUAGGCGGGUAUUUAAGUCAGUGGUGAAAUACCUGAGCUUAACUUGGGAACUGCCAUUGAUACUAUUUGUCUUGAAUGUCGUGGAGGUUAGCGGAAUAUGUCAUGUAGCGGUGAAAUGCUUAGAUAUGACAUAGAACACCUAUUGCGAAGGCAGCUAACUACGCGAAUAUUGACGCUGAGGCACGAAAGCGUGGGGAUCAAACAGG